This 263-nucleotide ribosomal RNA is filed under the name uncultured bacterium. Its description in RNAcentral is "partial 16S ribosomal RNA". It matches the Rfam family "Bacterial small subunit ribosomal RNA", at positions 524 to 785 of the family's 1533-position model. The record is from RNAcentral.
UACGUAGGGUGCAAGCGUUAAUCGGAAUUACUGGGCGUAAAGCGUGCGCAGGCGGUGAUGUAAGACAGAUGUGAAAUCCCCGGGCUCAACCUGGGAACUGCAUUUGUGACUGCAUCGCUGGAGUGCGGCAGAGGGGGAUGGAAUUCCGCGUGUAGCAGUGAAAUGCGUAGAUAUGCGGAGGAACACCGAUGGCGAAGGCAAUCCCCUGGGCCUGCACUGACGCUCAUGCACGAAAGCGUGGGGAGCAAACAGGAUUGAGAAAC